UGGGGAAUAUUAGGCAAUGGGGGAAACCCUGACCUAGCAACGCCGCGUGAAGGAUGAAGGUCUUCGGAUUGUAAACUUCUUUGGCCCGGGACGAUAAUGACGGUACCGGGAGAACAAGCCACGGCUAACUACGUGCCAGCAGCCGCGGUAAUACGUAGGUGGCAAGCGUUGUCCGGAAUUACUGGGUGUAAAGGGCGAGUAGGCGGGUGCACAAGUCAGAUGUGAAAAUCCGGGGCUCAACCCCGGACCUGCAUUUGAAACUGUGCGUCUUGAGUGAUGGAGAGGCAGGCGGAAUUCCCGGUGUAGCGGUGAAAUGCAUAGAGAUCGGGAGGAACACCAGUGGCGAAGGCGGCCUGCUGGACAUUAACUGACGCUGAGGCGCGAAAGUGUGGGGAGCAAACAGG
Molecule: ribosomal RNA, 404 nt
Filed under: uncultured prokaryote
Also listed under: 1 other name
Description: bacterial SSU rRNA
Rfam family: Bacterial small subunit ribosomal RNA
Source: RNAcentral